Molecule: long non-coding RNA, 2109 nt
Organism: Diorhabda sublineata
Lineage: Eukaryota; Metazoa; Arthropoda; Insecta; Coleoptera; Chrysomelidae
Exons: 3
Source: RefSeq, a predicted model, not a curated record
UCGUUUUAGUGAUAAUGAUUUUGUAUUUUGUAGGAAUUUUGAUUUGAGAAUCGCAAAUUUAGUGAAAAGUAAUUUACCGUGAGAAAUUUUCUUGUUAUAUUUUGUUUAACUUGAAAACCACGAAGGCGAAUUCGACAAAUUUUAUUACUUGGAUGAUUUUUUACUUUUUUGCUUGCAACACGUUCAUUUUGAAAACUUGAUUUUAUUGAUAUAAUUUUCAUUUAUAACUAACUCACUCAAGUCGAAUAAAUUAUAACAUCUUGGGUAAUAUAACUUUGAAUUUAUAAUACCGGGUACCAUCUAAAAAUUGUGGGCUUGAUUUUUACGAGGGGGAAAAUUUUAGUGGCUGACAGAUUUAAGAAGUGUUGGUGCGCGAUUCUACGCGAAAUUUUAACCCGUUAACGAAACGAAAGGUAAAUGUAGUGCACGUUCCAUAAUGCGGUUCGCCAAAAAGUAGUUGAUUGUUGGAUAAAUAACAAAAAAAAAAUUAUUUUCCAUUCUUCAUAACAAAUAUUUCACACUACAUAUUUUACGUUUCUACUUGGUACUGCUAGAUAAUUCAAUUCAUUUAAACGUACGUUGAAAUUUUCCAAUAUUUUAAAUCAAACAAAUUUUUCUCCAUCCAUUAUUCCAAAAUUUAUCCUGAGAAAUUGAUAUUUUUCCCAAAAAUUGAAUGUAAUACAAUUUCAAUAUGAUAUACGAGGUAUAUCCACAAAGAAAGUUCCAAUCAUAUGAUAGAAUUGCUCCAAUACACCUCAAAUUCACUUUGAUUGGAAAUAGUAGUACAUGGAUCCUUCUGAUCAAUAUAAAUGAUAAUUAGAUAAGUAAGUAACUUGAAGAUGUGAUUUCCAUUCAAAUGACUUUCUGAGUACUCCGUUGAGAUUUUCCUGAUCUUUGAGAACAAAUCUGUUGGGUUAAUGAGAUGAUUGUGUGAUGAAUGUCUUUGGAAUUUGAUCAAAAAUGAGGCAGGCAACCGCCGCGAUAUGGAAAAGUGAUUCGUAAUUUUCGGUAUCGAUUUCGGUGUGUCGCGAAUCAGUUUUAAGUGAUAGACAUCAUGGAAAUGGAAAAUGGAUAUGGAGACUUUCCUAUGUGGACAAAGUUAUGUGUUUGUGCGCGAUUCGACGCGAAAUUUUAACCCGUUAACGAAACCAAAAAUAUAUAGUGUGCGAAUCGAUAAAGUGGUUUGCCAAAAGGAAGGAAUAAAUAACAAAAAAACAUAUUUCUUCAAUUUUUAUAACAAAUAUGUAUUUCAAACUACAAAUAUGUGUUUCUAAAAUGGAAAUGCUGCUGCAUCAGGAAUAUAAAAAUAGAUGUAAAAUUCUAUUUUCUAUUAUCGUUUUUCUGUGUCACGUUUCUUUCCAAAACUUAACCUGUCUGAAAAAAAAAAUUUAUGUAAUAAAUUUUUUACAAAUUAAAUUUACAAAUAUAAAAAAAAUUAUAGAUAUCUGGAGAAUAAUAUUCGUAUGAAUUUGUCUUUUUAUGUUUGGUAUUUUCAGUUGAGUAAAUUGAAAGUAUGUGUGUGAUAAUUAUUGUAUCUUGUAUGCGUGUGCCGUUUUGCAAUCUUCAUAUCGAUGGCUACUUCAUUUGUUAUAAAUUUUCGUUUUUCUUUCCCAAACUGGACCUGAAAUUUAAAAAUAUAAAAUGUUGUAAACUUCCGAUAUGUGAAUUACUUUGAUAAUAAUUGUAUGAUAAAAUUAUUAUACACUAUUUUGUUCUUAUACGAAACUUACAUUUUUUUAAUAAUAAUUCGAUUUUCUGGCCAUUUUAUUUUAUAAUCGACUGUGAACAAUUUAAUCAAACGUUAAUUGUUUCUAAGUUAUAUCAACCCUUAAAAAAAGAAAACUGCAUCUGUUUCUUUUUUAAUUCUGAAUGUUUUCUGCUCAAGUUAGUUGAAUGUAUAUGUGUAAUAAUAUAUUUUGCAAAAUAAAAGAUUUUCUCAAGGGUUUAUUGAAUAUCGAUAGCUAUUUCAUUUGUUAUAAAUUUUCAUCAUUCCUACCCAUGUUCGACUUGAAAUUUGAAAAGAUAAAAUGCAAUAACUAUCUAAAGUAAACUUCGAAUCUUACUUAUAGACAAUUAAAUAAUAAAAUCAUCAUAUAUCGUUUUUUCUAA